AGUGAACGCUGGCGGUAGGCCUAACACAUGCAAGUCGAACGGCAGCACAGUAAGAGCUUGCUCUUACGGGUGGCGAGUGGCGGACGGGUGAGGAAUACAUCGGAAUCUACUUUUUCGUGGGGGAUAACGUAGGGAAACUUACGCUAAUACCGCAUACGACCUACGGGUGAAAGCAGGGGAUCUUCGGACCUUGCGCGAUUGAAUGAGCCGAUGUCGGAUUAGCUAGUUGGCGGGGUAAAGGCCCACCAAGGCGACGAUCCGUAGCUGGUCUGAGAGGAUGAUCAGCCACACUGGAACUGAGACACGGUCCAGACUCCUACGGGAGGCAGCAGUGGGGAAUAUUGGACAAUGGGCGCAAGCCUGAUCCAGCCAUACCGCGUGGGUGAAGAAGGCCCUCGUGUUGUAAAGCCCUUUUGUUGGGAAAGAAAAGCAGCAGGUUAAUACCCCGCUGUUCUGACGGUACCCAAAGAAUAAGCACCGGCUAACUUCGUG
Molecule: ribosomal RNA, 492 nt
Filed under: uncultured bacterium
Lineage: Bacteria
Description: partial 16S ribosomal RNA
Rfam family: Bacterial small subunit ribosomal RNA
Source: RNAcentral